Molecule: ribosomal RNA, 493 nt
Filed under: uncultured bacterium
Lineage: Bacteria
Description: partial 16S ribosomal RNA
Rfam family: Bacterial small subunit ribosomal RNA
Source: RNAcentral
ACGAACGCUGGCGGCGUGCUUAACACAUGCAAGUCGAACGGUGAAGCGCCUUCCUUUUUGGUGGGUGUGGAUGAGUGGCGAACGGGUGAGUAACACGUGAGUAACCUGCCCCCUUCUUCUGGAUAACCGCAUGAAAGUGUGGCUAAUACGGGAUAUUCUGGGUCUGCCGCAUGAUGGGUCUGGGAAAGAUAUUGUUUCGGUGGGGGAUGGGCUCGCGGCCUAUCAGCUUGUUGGUGGGGUGAUGGCCUACCAAGGCGGUGACGGGUAGCCGGCCUGAGAGGGUGGACGGUCACACUGGGACUGAGACACGGCCCAGACUCCUACGGGAGGCAGCAGUGGGGAAUAUUGCACAAUGGGCGCAAGCCUGAUGCAGCGACGCCGCGUGAGGGAUGGAGGCCUUCGGGUUGUGAACCUCUUUCGCCAGUGAAGCAGGCCUGCCUCGUUUGUGGGUGGGUUGACGGUAGCUGGAUAAGAAGCGCCGGCUAACUACGUG